UUUCAUUUAUAACUUUUUUUCGAUUUUCAAAUAUAAAACAGGAAAUACGAUAACGAGAGACUUGACAAACUCAACUAUACUACGACAAACUCUAACACCAACUAAAAGAAUCAGUGCUACUGAACAUGACUAUAAAGUACAAGACAACAAAAAAAUAGACUCAAAAACUAAAUAAAAAAUAUCCUUAAGCAACUCCUGGAUUGAACGGUCCUGACUGGAUGGUCCUGGGUGUCUGUCAUGCUCAAGCUCUAGUAAAUAGAUCCACACCUGUAUGAGAAAAAUACGGCCAAAUAGAGUUAGAACACUAUGUGAGACACUAAAACUUCCUAUUGGAUACAUGCAAGAUAUGAUUGAGGCUAUUUUUGCAAAAUAGCUUAUGUGGCCAAUAGGUGGUUAUAAGCCAAACUCAACAAAAGUGACCUCUAAGACAUGGAAACAUUACUUGCAGAAAUGGCCUAUGUGGCCAAAAAAUGGCUAAGUGUGCAAAUUCAACAUAAUGGACCUUAAACUGAGAGGAUACCUUGUUGUGGACUUAAGACUCUAAGACAUGGGUCAUUGAACCACUUUUGCGAAAAUGACCCCAUUUUGCAACAAUGACCGAUGUGACCAAAAACGGCUAAACAUGCAAAUUCGACAAGGAUGGGCCUGAAAGUAAAGAGACACCUAAUUGUGGAUUCAAGACGCUCUAGAUAAUUAAACAAACCACUUUGCAAAAAUAGCCAUAUUUUGCAAAAUGACCGAUGUGGCCAAGAGUGGCUAGACAUGUAAGAUUUGGCUACGACCCUCGAAGCCAAGAACCUAAGACUCACUAGGAAAACCGGACCCUAUGUAGGCUACCUACGUAUCUUUCCCCGAAAGACGAGAAUCAGGUAUGUGUAGUUCAGGCAGAUUGGAUACGGGCGAGAAUAAAAAAUAACUGAUUUGGAGAAAACAUAUUUUUCCUUUUUUGAAAAAUGAUGAAACAUGUAAACUCUUUUUGGAUUUUCUUUUCCCUUUUUUGAUUUUUUUAGGAAGAUGAUGGGAAAGUGCAAAAUAUUUUUUUCUUGGGAUUUUUUUUUUGCCUUUUUUAAAAAAAUGUGAAAGAAAAACAUAAUUGGGCCCUACUUGCUUUAUUUUCACACUUCACCCUCUUUUCUCACUCAUUUACCCUCAACCAUCAUUGGUCCGCCAAAUAACCCUUUUUACCCUUGAAGAAUGGAACAUAUAGCAUAUAAGAUGCAUCAGGAUGGUCUUUUAUUUUUGGGUACACCUGUCCUAGACGGACUCAACCCCUAUGUUGAGUACCUAAAGUCAAAUGCACAUGAUGCAAACAAACGUGCCUACUAGGGAUCCGGUAUGAGGUAAUAUUAUUCUAGGUUUAAACUUGGGGGUGGGUUCUAGACAUGGCUUACCCGAACGGACAAUUUAAGUCGAGGUCGGGGCAACGUACUGGGAGCACGAAAGUUUACCCGGCCUAGUUGCUGAUCCAGCCUCGUUCUAUUUGGUAUGAAUUCUAACAAAAAAGUGGGCCAUGCAUACGUGUGCACCAUAUUUUCGGAAGGGAGGUGUAAAAAGACAUUUAAAUAUAGUUCAAAUAAUAUCAAAGUGGUAUAUGAGCGGCAAUUAGCAUAGUAGGUCCACAAAUACAGUAAUAUCAACAAACAAUAAAGCCAAACAUAGAUCAUAUUUAACAAGCUCGAAUUCUGAACCCUGAACUAGAUGUUCUGGGUUCUUUUCCCCAGCAGAGUCGCUAGAGCUGUCACACCUCCUUUUUACCCGAAAGGGAAUAAUGGAGUUUUUCCAAUUAAAGUGUGACAUAAUCGAAAUAGGAUUAUUUAUUUAAAUUCAGAGUCACCACUUGGAAUAAUUUAUGGUGUCCCAAGUCACCGGUUUAUUUUAAAUCCCAAGUCGAGGAAUUUUGACUCUAUUUAUGUUCUACAAACACAGAAGACCGAGUAAAGAAUUCUAUUAACCCGGGAGAAGGUGUUAGGCAUUCCCGGGUUCCGUAGUUUUAGCACAGUCUCUUUAAUCAUACCUGUCUUUAUUAAAUUAUUUAAUUAUUACUUUAGAACCUAUGUGCAUUUACCUUUUUACCGCUUCUAAUUACUUGACUAUUCGUAAUUUUGGAAUUAUCCUAAAAUGAGUUACGCGUACGUGUACUCAUUUUGUUCGGCGCGUCAAGAAUCAUAUCAUGCAUACGUGGACACAAUUAAUCACGCUUUAUUAUUAUUAAGAAUGUUUGGCCGAAGUUGCGCGAACGCAUACCUUGGUUUUAAUUUUGGAAAUCGUAAUCAUGUCACGUGAACGUGUACAUAAUUACGAUAAUUUAUUUAUCAAUACACGCUUAAAGCAUACAAGCGAUUUGUGAGUUAUUUAUUUCCUAAGUUAAAACUAUUGCAAGGCCAAGAAUUACGGAGGAGAAAUUUUCUAUAUCAACCUCCUACAGCCCAACAAAUGAAGACCAGAACUAGUAUAGGAUCCAAAUCUUUCAAAUUUUAAAUCAAAGUCCAAAUUAGUUUUAUUUAAUAAAGAACAAGACUGUUUCUAUGGCAACAUUAGUUUCUCUACGACAACAAAUAAAAAAAUGCACACUUACAUUUAGAACGAGUCUGUGUAUUUCUCUACGGCAACAUUAGUUGUAUUAAAUCUUCUCUUAAUAUAAAACUCCACUUUUAUGGAAGAAAUCAAAAAAAUAAUAUUUUUAUCAACUUCAAAUGCAAUAACAAACAUCUUAAUUAAUAAUAAAACUGGACUGGAUUCAAAUGCGUUCAAUCUUCAAGAAAAUAAGUAAAGAGCAAAAUAUACAAUCGUAAAAUUUCAUGUGUUUAGCGCAGGAUUAUUAAAUCGAACAACUCCAAUAUUCAGCCAUGAAAAGCAAAACCAAAUACAAUUAUACAAUGGCCUUAGAUGCGUACCUAGUUGUCAACAAUCCAAAGAAAAAUCAGAAGAAUAACUGAACGGGACCGUGACCGGAUCAGAAACUAACGCCGGCGACCUCAAACGGACCUCAAAUUAGAAGCUUCGAACGGAUCUCCCACGAAAUCCAUUUUUGAAACCAGAAAAUUGGUUCAAACAAAGAAAACAAAAACGAUGGGGUGGGGUUGCCAUUGCUCGUUGUUCUCAAAGAUUUGAAGAGAUCAGAGGGUCUGUUCUUGGGCGUUCCCCUAAGGUUAGAGAUUCAGAGUCUCGUCAUCUCUCUAUGUGUGUGCGCAAGAGCUGAUAGAUUAAGGAAAUGGGGUCGUUUUUCUUUCGAAAGAAGCAGCAUUGUUCAAGGUCCAAAUUCAAGGGGUCUGCCUACUUUUGAAGAGUUCUGAUUAUCUCGUUCUCUUAGGGGUGUACAGCGAUAAGGUGGAGAAUGGGGGGAACUCCACGGCAUGUGAGUGAGUGUCUGUGUUCAGUGUGGUGGUCGGUUGGUUCUGGAGUUGGUCGUUGGGGUGAGUCGGCUGCUUUGGUCUGAGAUAGAGUGACGAUGGAGGGGUUGGUGGGUGGUUGUUCCGACGACGGUUGGUUUAUUUGAAGGGUGGUGCAGCAGUUAGGGAGAUUAGGGUUCCUCCUAUCUAAAGAAGAAGAAGAGGGGAACCACUGGGUUCUUUAGGUCUCUAGGGUUCUGUCGUUGGCUUCAUGUGGGUGAAGAAGAAAAAGGUCGCUGGUUGUUGUGAAGGUGAUGGCUGGUUUUUGUGGUUGGAGAUUACGGUUGUCUUCUAGGUUUCUUGGGGUGGUAGAAGAUGAAGAUGAGAUAAAGUUUCCUUUUUUCGGUCACAGAUGAUAAAAAAUGGCUGACCUUUUUCUUGGGGUCCUUCUAG
This 3782-nucleotide long non-coding RNA is filed under the name Nicotiana tabacum (common tobacco). Its description in RNAcentral is "long non-coding RNA (NTAB_LNC006377)". The record is from RNAcentral. Lineage: Eukaryota; Viridiplantae; Streptophyta; Magnoliopsida; Solanales; Solanaceae.